This 1016-nucleotide long non-coding RNA is filed under the name Struthio camelus australis. RNAcentral describes it as "lncRNA (ENSSCUG00000002815.1)". Lineage: Eukaryota; Metazoa; Chordata; Aves; Struthioniformes; Struthionidae. The record is from RNAcentral.
CUCCCCUUCCUGCACGGCACGUUUCGAAACGAGCCCUUUCCCGGCCAAAUCGGCAGAGAAAACUCCCCCCGCCAAAAACACCCUCUGCAAACCAGGACGUCUUCCCACCCAACUUAGCUCAAAGCGUAAUUUAUGGGUUGCACGGAAAGCUUAGGCGCGCUAGCAGCACGCAGCGGCUCUUCCACCCGGCCCGGCUGCGUUCCUGGAGGUUUUCCCUCCAGAGCCUCAUUCCAGCCCGGAGACGCCCCAAAAGCUGCCGGGAGCCGGGGCUCUCCGGCCGGCACCUCCUCGCCGGGCUCAUUUGCAGCAGGAGCGUUGGUGGCUGCCUCCUGGCUCUUUUGCCCUUCUCGGACCGUCGCUUCUUGGGACUUUUUGCUGGCUCAGCAAUGUCUCCGAUGGAGGCAACUGGCCAGUUUUCAUUCCCAAGGCUCCUUUCGCAUCGCCGUGUAGAUGUGCUUCAGUGGCCCUUUCCUUUUGUGCGGCGUCCCUCGCGGUACCGCACACGCGUUGAGAAGAAGCGCCGGGGCUGGGGGCACCCUCAGCCCAUUUUACAGGUGGAGAAUGUGAGGCAGAGACCUUCCUGCAGGAUCUGGCGGGCAGUUCGUACCUCCGCACCAGCCCGGCCGCGGUCCUCUCCAGCUUGUUGCAUUUUCUGUGGACGCAUCGAGCAUUUUCAGUGCAUUUAUCGCAGGGUGACGACUGGGCUUUGAAGAAGUUUUACCAGCCAGCGUCGCCCCUUGCUGCAGAGGGGGAUGGAGAUGUACAACCCGGCACAUCUGCUCGCCGGGAAUAACCGCUAAUAUGCGGCACUGCUUUGGCUCCCAGCUGCGUAAAAGCCAGCAGACAAAAGGGAGCUUCCUCCCCCGGCCCAAAGUCUUUGUGGCUGCUCAGAAACAGCUGUGCCAACCCACCGCCUCCCGCCCCGGGGCGACGUCCCACCCAGCCCCGCCGUGCCCCGAGGGGUGCAAGGGGGUCUGCGCCAGCGGGGNNNNNNNNNNNNNNNNNNNNNNNNNNNN